Long non-coding RNA from Sinocyclocheilus anshuiensis, 150 nucleotides. RefSeq lists it as uncharacterized. The transcript is spliced from 2 exons. The record is from RefSeq and is a predicted model, not a curated record. NCBI's taxonomy places the organism in Eukaryota, Metazoa, Chordata, Actinopteri, Cypriniformes, Cyprinidae.
UAGGCAACAACAAAAAAAGAAUAUUCUCAUUCUCUUAAUUUUUGUCCUUUUCCAUAGUCACAUGUUGCCUGAUCGGCUCUCUAAGGGGGAGGAGAUUUUCUUUUUCUGCUUCAAUUUUCUGAAGCAUAUUGUUUGUGACACGUUUUCAGU